RNAcentral lists this long non-coding RNA (1182 nucleotides) under Dasypus novemcinctus (nine-banded armadillo). RNAcentral's name for it is "lncRNA (ENSDNOG00000050256.1)". Lineage: Eukaryota; Metazoa; Chordata; Mammalia; Cingulata; Dasypodidae. The record is from RNAcentral.
GGCCGAGGCAGCCGGGAGCAUGCCCAGCCCUGUCAAGGCGGUCCAGAGCGGAGUGGGAAGUGGCGGGAUUCCGUCUCCGUCUGCACCCGCGAUUUAGCCGAGUCCACGGCGCCGCCGCGCGGACCCGAAGCCCGGACGCCGCAAGCCCUCAUGGGCCCGUGAAGUCAGCUCGCGCCCCGCGGGAACCCAGCCCGGGCCCCUGCUGGACCGUGGGGGAACGCGGACUGCACCCCCGAAGCCCGCAGCCUGGCAGCCCACAGGCACGAGAACCCAGCCCGGUGAGCAGCACCGAGAGCCCCCGAGGCCGCCGCGAGAGAAGCGCUUCGUCCACGCCGCUGCUUCAGGGUAAAACACGCAUGCACAUGAAAGAAGAGAGACACCACAAAGCAGGUCAUUUUCACCAGAUGCUGGGAAAAAAUAACUCUCUUGGUAUAGGAAUUAUGAAGUGACAUUUCCAUAACAAAAUUCUCUCAAAGUGACACUAUUUAAGUGAAAGUGAGCAAAACUACAUAACGACAGACUUCUUUAUCACCUGUCUUCAUUGCAAUGAUUUAAAAGCCUAUCCCUUCUCAAUCUCCUAAGGAAUUGGGAACUUGUAAAUCUUCACAUCCCCUCCUGUCUCCCUCAAUACUUGGCCAAGUACCUUGCUCAAAGUAGUUGCUCAAUAAAUAACUUGUUGAAUGGACACAGUAAUUUCAUAUCACAAUUCAUAUGAAUGAGGAUAAAAGAACAAAAUGAAGAGAAUGAUUCAGCUGAGAUGGCCCUAAAAUAGAGGGCUUGGCAGAAUUCAGGAUUUGUAAUGCUAUUAUAGCAUUAUGGAUUUGGUAUAAAAAGAUCAAUGUCAUAAACCGCAUAGUAGUGCCAAGAAAGUAAUUUUACUUUCAAAUUGGAACUUGAAAGAAAAGCAAAUAUCAUCGACAUGAUGAACAAGAUGUUUUUCUUUUGUGAGAGGUACCCUGCCAACCAAUUUAAUGGUAUAAAAGUGAACUACCUGAGACUUGAAGUCAAUAUGUGAUAUGAUAAAAUUAGAAUAAAUUUACCCGGCCUAGCUCCUCAGCUUUUCAAACUCAAAGACAAUGAAACCAAAUCUUUGAACUGACUGGUGAAUAAAGCACUCUGAGAGAACUGCUCCUCUAGAAUAUAAAUGAUAAUAAGAAUUAAAGGAGCUGUAUAAAAGACCAA